Molecule: microRNA precursor, 93 nt
Organism: Gallus gallus (chicken)
Lineage: Eukaryota; Metazoa; Chordata; Aves; Galliformes; Phasianidae
Source: Ensembl
GGAAGCUCUGCCAGUGGCAAGCUGAAGGCCAGGGAGCAGCCACAGCAGCUAACUCCUCUGAGCUCAGCUUCGCCUCUGCCAGUCUCUCUGUCC